RNAcentral lists this ribosomal RNA (253 nucleotides) under uncultured bacterium. Its description in RNAcentral is "partial 16S ribosomal RNA". It matches the Rfam family "Bacterial small subunit ribosomal RNA", at positions 524 to 776 of the family's 1533-position model. The record is from RNAcentral.
UACGAAGGUGGCAAGCGUUGUUCGGAUUUACUGGGCGUAAAGGGAGCGUAGGUGGUGCGGUAAGCCCUCCGGGAAAGCUUCAGGCUUAACCUGAAAAGGUCGGGGGGGGCUGCCACGCUAGAGGACGGGAGAGGAGCGCGGAAUUCCCGGUGUAGCGGUGAAAUGCGUAGAGAUCGGGAGGAAGGCCGGUGGCGAAGGCGGCGCUCUGGAACGUUUCUGACACUGAGGCUCGAAAGCGUGGGGAGCAAACAGG